UGGGGAAUAUUGCACAAUGGGCGAAAGCCUGAUGCAGCAACGCCGCGUGAGGGACGACGGCCUUCGGGUUGUAAACCUCUUUAGCAAGGAAGAAGCGAAAGUGACGGUACUUGCAGAAAAAGCGCCGGCUAACUACGUGCCAGCAGCCGCGGUAAUACGUAGGGCGCAAGCGUUAUCCGGAAUUAUUGGGGCGUAAAGAGCUCGUAGGCGGUUUGUCGCGUCUGCUGUGAAAACCCGAGGCUCAACCUCGGGCCUGCAGUGGGUACGGGCAGACUAGAGUGCGGUAGGGGAGAUUGGAACUCCUGGUGUAGCGGUGGAAUGCGCAGAUAUCAGGAAGAACACCGAUGGCGAAGGCAGAUCUCUGGGCCGUAACUGACGCUGAGGAGCGAAAAGGGU
Molecule: ribosomal RNA, 396 nt
Filed under: uncultured bacterium
Lineage: Bacteria
Description: partial 16S ribosomal RNA
Rfam family: Bacterial small subunit ribosomal RNA
Source: RNAcentral